CGCGUAGGCGGCCCUGUCAGUCGGGUGUGAAAGCCCGGGGCUCAACCCCGGAACGGCACCCGAGACGGCAGGGCUGGAGACCGGGAGAGGAGGGUGGAAUAGCCAGUGUAGAGGUGAAAUUCGUAGAUAUUGGCUGGAACACCGGUGGCGAAAGCGGCUCUCUGGCCCGGUUCUGACGCUGAGGCGCGAAAGCGUGGGGAGGCAAAACA
Molecule: ribosomal RNA, 209 nt
Filed under: uncultured bacterium
Lineage: Bacteria
Description: partial 16S ribosomal RNA
Rfam family: Bacterial small subunit ribosomal RNA
Source: RNAcentral